Molecule: transfer-messenger RNA, 399 nt
Filed under: Chryseobacterium sp. Leaf180
Lineage: Bacteria; Pseudomonadati; Bacteroidota; Flavobacteriia; Flavobacteriales; Weeksellaceae
Also listed under: 1 other name
Rfam family: transfer-messenger RNA
About the family: Bacterial tmRNA, also known as 10Sa RNA or SsrA, is named for its dual tRNA and mRNA-like properties. Its role is to liberate the mRNA from a stalled ribosome.
Source: Rfam by way of RNAcentral
GGGGUUGACUGGUUUCGACAGCAAGAUCAAUGGGUAAGUAAGCAUGCAGAGAACCGUAGCGCGAUCUCUUAAAUCCCUUGCUACACACUUUUAACUGGCAACGAAGAGUUCGCUCUUGCAGCUUAAUCUGAAUAAAGUAGGAUUUCAAGCGUUUUCCCGAAGAUAGUAAGGAAGCAGGAUGUCCCACAAAUGCUCUGUUCUGCGGCGUUUGAUUCUGGGAUAUAGUAAUGCAGAAAUAAGGUUUUGGAAGCUUUGGUCAAAACUCGAAAAUUUCAGAAGCUAAGCCGAAAAUUGGGUGUCUGUGCUCUGUUUAGGUCGAAAAUCAAUUGCAGAAUAAGCAUGUAGAAGGCUUAUGUAUUGCUUGUUUGGACGAGGGUUCGAAUCCCUCCAACUCCACAA